CGCCUAAUAAUGGCCGCCCGUUUUGUCUUGUUCUUUGCCACCGAGACCGAAACCGAUCGCCCGAGUCCCAUUCCCACCCCCACCCCUCCAAUACCACACCGUCAUCGUCAUCGUCAUCGUCAUCGGCCCUCCUCCUCCUCUCUGCGCGAUCCUAUUGAACCUCCCCCGUUCGUACGUCUUCCGCGAGAGAGAGAGAGAGAGAGAGAGAGAGAGAGAGAGGCGAGUGGAGAAGGGAGUCGAGGAGAUGGCGGCGGCGGUGAGGGUGGAGAAGGCGACGAGCGACCUGCUGCUGGGGCCCGACUGGACCCUCAACAUCGACAUCUGCGACGGCGUCAACUCCGAUCACGGGCAAGCAAAGGAGGUGAUUAAAACUCUGAAGAAGCGUCUUCAACACAAGAAUUCAUCAGUUCAGUCUCUUGCAUUGACGCUGUUGGAGACUCUGGUGAAAAAUUGUGGGGAUCAUGUGCAUUUUCUGGUUGUAGAGCGCGGUAUAUUGCAAGAAAUGGUCAAACUUGCCAAGAAAAAGGCAAAUGUGCAAGUGAGGGACAAAAUUUUGACACUCCUUGAUUCUUGGCAAGAAGCAUUUGGUGGGCCUGGUGGGAAGCACCCUCAGUUCUACUGGGCAUAUUCUGAACUUAAGCAAUCUGGUUUAGAAUUUCCUAGGCGCUCACCUGAGGCAGCAACAAUAUUCGCCCCUCACCUUCAACCAGGGAUCGGGAGUCCAGCCAAUUCAUCCUUGAGAGCUGAUGGGAUGAUUUCAUCAAGUGGCUCUCCUCUGAGUUUGUCAGAUUUGCAACGAAUUUUAAGUGCCGCGGAGCUACUAAGUGAGAUGCUGAGAGAAGUGGAUCCAAAUGAUCAUGAGGCUGUGAAUGAUGAAAUUAUCGCGGAACUUGUGAACCAAUGCCGGUCAUACCAGAAAAAGAUCAUGAGUUUGGUUAGUUCAGUGAGUGAUGAGGACCUCUUGAGCCAAAGUCUCGACUUAAACGACAGAUUGCAAAUUCUGCUUUCCAAACACGAUGCAAUUGCAUCAGGUUCCCCUCUACCGGGUGAAGAAACGGAUGUGUUGAGUGAGUUGCCCAGAGGGAUCACUACAACCCCUGCAGCAACAGUUGUUCCCGAAACUGCCAUUGUACCAACUUUUGUCUUGGAUGAUGAAGAGGAAGAGGAGGAAGAUGAUGAGAAUUCGAGAUUCAGGUCAGCAAAUGAGAAGAGCGCCUCUUCAGGUGUAGGCGCAUCAUCGUCGUCCACGCAGGAUGGAACAGCAAGCUCAGCAGCUUCUGUGACCACUACAUCAUCACCAUCUACUUCAAGCAGUGCAUUAGCAUUGCCUGAUCAUCUAGCUCCUAUAAGGACUUCUCCAGAAGACAAGAUUAUGAGCGACCUCCUUGCGCUCACCAUAGUGUCAAGCCCAUCACCUGAACCUGCCUUGCAUCCUGGUGGUUCCCCAACCAGUUAUCAUCCACAGCCUCAUUAUGCAGACCCACAACACACAGCUGCAGCGCACAACAGCUACGUCGCUCCUUGGGCUCAGCAUCAACCUCAAACUGCACCCAUUAAGCAGCAGCAGCAGCAGCACCAACCACCACCUCAACCACAAUUUUCUUACAACCCAUCUCCUUACCCGCCACCACCAUGGGCCCCUCAGGACAACACCGAGUCAAACCCUUUCGUGGCAUCUUCAUCGCAGCGACUUUCUACUUCUAACUCGCCUCUUAAAGUACCGCCGAACAUGAGGCCCCUACAGCAAUCGCAAUCUUUUGGCGUACCGCUUCGAAGUGCCGCGUCAGAUUCACCGACAAACAAGAGCCUGAAGCAACCCAUGUCUGCAGGGUCUCGCCGACCGUCUUAUGUUCCUUCUAACAAGUUCUUUGAUGAUCUGCUUGAGAGAAAUGCGGAUGGUACUCUGAAAACGAGCAGUGGGGUAAUUGGAGGCACAUCCAGUCCAUACAAACCGUAGUGAUGCUAGUGGAAUCAAUAUACAGUAUGAAGGAAUAUCUGUCCUGUGGUUCAUACAAACCAAUAAACCGUAGUGAUGACAGCGGAAUCAAAAUACUAUGAAAGACUUUGCAUUGUUUGUCUUGAUAACUGCUACAAUUUCAAAAAUACGAGCCAAUAAACCAUGGUGAUGCCAGUGGAAUCAAAAUAUGAAAUUUUGCAUUGUUUGUCUUGAUGACUGCUGUGAUUCCAUUUGGCCCGCAAACUUUGUUGCCUUGAUUGGUUUGCUUGAUGCUUCUGGGUACCAUUAUUAGUAAUUUAUGCGAAAACAGAGCAUGUGAAACCCCCAAUCUUAUUUGUUGUGGAGUUAAAAUUGAUUGUGCACU
This 2321-nucleotide ribosomal RNA is filed under the name Triticum aestivum (bread wheat). RNAcentral describes it as "partial small subunit ribosomal RNA". The record is from RNAcentral. Lineage: Eukaryota; Viridiplantae; Streptophyta; Magnoliopsida; Poales; Poaceae.